CAGCACCUCAAGUGGUCAGGAUGAUUAUUGGGCUUAAAGCAUCCGUAGCCGGCGCUGUAAGUUUUCGGUUAAAUCUGUACGCUCAACGUACAGGCUGCCGGGAAUACUGCAGCGCUAGGGAGUGGGAGAGGUAGACGGUACUCGGUAGGAAGGGGUAAAAUCCUUUGAUCUAUUGAUGACCACCUGUGGCGAAGGCGGUCUACCAGAACACGUCCGACGGUGAGGGAUGAAAGCUGGGGGAGCAAACCGGAUUAGAUACCCGAGUAGUCC
RNAcentral lists this ribosomal RNA (270 nucleotides) under uncultured archaeon. Its description in RNAcentral is "partial 16S ribosomal RNA". It matches the Rfam family "Archaeal small subunit ribosomal RNA", at positions 477 to 747 of the family's 1478-position model. The record is from RNAcentral.